UACACUCCUGCGGGAGGCAGCAGUGGGGAAUUUUGGACAAUGGGCGAAAGCCUGAUCCAGCAAUGCCGCGUGUGUGAAGAAGGCCUUCGGGUUGUAAAGCUCUUUUGUCCGGAAAGAAAUCCUUGGCUCUAAUACAGUCGGGGGAUGACGGUACCGGAAGAAUAAGCACCGGCUAACUACGUGCCAGCAGCCGCGGUAAUACGUAGGGUGCGAGCGUUAAUCGGAAUUACUGGGCGUAAAGCGUGCGCAGGCGGUUUGCUAAGACCGAUGUGAAAUCCCCGGGCUCAACCUGGGAACUGCAUUGGUGACUGGCAGGCUAGAGUAUGGCAGAGGGGGGUAGAAUUCCACGUGUAGCAGUGAAAUGCGUAGAGAUGUGGAGGAAUACCGAUGGCGAAGGCAGCCCCCUGGGCCAAUACUGACGCUCAUGCACGAAAGCGUGGGGAGCAAACAGGAUUAGAAACCCGGGUAGUCCCAU
Molecule: ribosomal RNA, 475 nt
Filed under: uncultured organism
Description: partial 16S ribosomal RNA
Rfam family: Bacterial small subunit ribosomal RNA
Source: RNAcentral